Molecule: non-coding RNA, 71 nt
Organism: Bos taurus (domestic cattle)
Lineage: Eukaryota; Metazoa; Chordata; Mammalia; Artiodactyla; Bovidae
Source: Rfam
UCCCUGGUGGUCCAGUGGUUUAAAAUCUGCCUUCCAAGCAGAAGAUGCAGGUUUGAUCCCUGAUCAUGGAA